RNAcentral lists this ribosomal RNA (502 nucleotides) under uncultured bacterium. Its description in RNAcentral is "bacterial SSU rRNA". It matches the Rfam family "Bacterial small subunit ribosomal RNA", at positions 28 to 517 of the family's 1533-position model. The record is from RNAcentral.
GAUGAACGCUAGCUACAGGCUUAACACAUGCAAGUCGAGGGGAAACGAUAGAGAAAGCUUGCUUUUUCUAGGCGUCGACCGGCGCACGGGUGAGUAACGCGUAUCCAACCUGCCCAUCACUUGGGGAUAACCUUGCGAAAGUAAGACUAAUACCCAAUGACGUCUCUAGAAGACAUCUGAAGGAGAUUAAAGAUUUAUCGGUGAUGGAUGGGGAUGCGUCUGAUUAGCUUGUUGGCGGGGUAACGGCCCACCAAGGCGACGAUCAGUAGGGGUUCUGAGAGGAAGGCCCCCCACAUUGGAACUGAGACACGGUCCAAACUCCUACGGGAGGCAGCAGUGAGGAAUAUUGGUCAAUGGACGAGAGUCUGAACCAGCCAAGUAGCGUGCAGGAUGACGGCCCUAUGGGUUGUAAACUGCUUUUANAAGGGAAUAAAGUGAGUCUCGUGAGACUUUUUGCAUGUACCUUAUGAAUAAGGACCGGCUAAUUCCGUGCCAGCAGCCG